Molecule: unclassified non-coding RNA, 671 nt
Filed under: Hevea brasiliensis (rubber tree)
Lineage: Eukaryota; Viridiplantae; Streptophyta; Magnoliopsida; Malpighiales; Euphorbiaceae
Source: RNAcentral
CCUAUAAGAAAUACAACAGAACAAUGUCAAUAGAAGUAGUUUUCUUGCAUUCUUGCUCCCAAAAAUCAACCAUUAACGCUUGAGAUAAGCAAAGUAGGAAAUAAAAACAAAAAGAAGGAAACAUUACUUUUGUAUUUUGCACAAAUAUUACGAAAUCAAUCUGUUGUCCUUUACAAUGUGGAAGCAAACUAGACAACGAUAAAAAGGGAAGAUGAAAAGAGAUUGCCAAGCUAGGGCAACUUAGUGAAUUAAGCAAACACACAUGCCCAUAAAAUAGGUAUACAUUUAUGCUGUUUAAAUGAGCUAGUUCAUGGAUUUGCUGCAUUGUUUCAAUCAAAUGCCUUAUUCAGUUUAAACAACAAUAAAGGAACAUUCACGUUAAUAGAAUGAUUGACUGGGUUCUACAAGAAUUCAAAAACAUUUGGAUUUUAAGAACUUUGGGAAAGGAUAUAAAGUAACACAAAGUGAAUAGUACAAGUAGAAGUAGAUCAGUGUGUGAAUCAAUCCUGAUGCAUUCAUCAAAGUUCUUUCCAUUAUUCAGCAACUGCAACACAGUUGAAAAGCAAUGUUAAGAUUAUUAUUACACCUCACACUAAAUGCUUUCAGAUGAACAAAAGAUGAUUCUUAGGUUCAAGUAUUCUAUCAAAAAUAUUAUUCAGUCAAUAAUAUUC